CAGCAAUAAACCACAACACCAUUAUAAAGAUUUUCUUUCUACAAACUUUAGAUAAUCUCUCACAUGAAUUUUCAUUUCAGUAAUACGGCCAGCUGUCAUCCCCCCCCACUGCCAAAGACAGACCUUGUGGCCAAGUACCAUUGGUACUGUAAAAUGUGGAAACGGCAGCCCCCACCCGGGGAGGCCGACCACCGCCGCCUCAGGUGGAACAUCCGGGUAUGUGUGGGAUGAGGCAUGAAGUUAUUACAACGUCAGUUUCAUUGACUGAUGGCAACAUUGCUGCCCAGGUCAGGAGCAGCUGGCACAAGGAACAAUCCCUGAAAAGGAAGAUAAACCCCCCAAAAAAUACCACCACUACCGCAAGGGGUGAGACAGGCAGCCCCCACCGGGAGGCGGACCGCCGCCUCCUCCGGUGGCAAGUCCGGGAGCAAUUGGCCCAUGGGCUGCUGCCCAAAACAAAAGAAAAGAAAAGGCCACCAAAGCUCACCGACAGACACCCUCAGAAAAAUAGACAAGAGGAACAGCUGAAGGACCAAUUGGCCUGUGGGCUGCUGCCCGUAAGUAUUUCUCCAGGUUUUUUUUUUUCAAUUAUAUAUAAAAACCUUCCAAGGUGUCCGAAUUGGAGUAUUUAUUUCUUAACCUGCCGUUUUGUUUGUUUGUUCAGAAAACAGCAGGAAAGAAAAAACCACCCAAGUAAGUUCCUAUGCUGUAGUAGCACCCAGAUUUUCAGUAUAAUCUGCGAUGACAGGUCCGGGUACCAGCGGGGCUGGGAAGAAAACCCGCCACCUGGGGACGUCAACCGGCGCCCUCUCCGGUGGAAGAUCCGGAUAUGUGUGGGAUGAG
Molecule: long non-coding RNA, 843 nt
Filed under: Oreochromis niloticus (Nile tilapia)
Lineage: Eukaryota; Metazoa; Chordata; Actinopteri; Cichliformes; Cichlidae
Description: lncRNA (ENSONIG00000038145.1)
Source: RNAcentral